GCGGUGCUGCCCGGCACGUCAGGAGAGACGUAUCCCCGGGCCCUUAUCGAUCCUCAAGGGAGCUGUCCCUGAUCGGGCCCGUGGGCCCUUUCACACGGCGCCCACCUAGACUGCUAGGUGUCCCGGGAUCGAAAACCUCCAACGGCCGGCGCGGCCCGCC
RNAcentral lists this non-coding RNA (160 nucleotides) under Hyphomicrobiales bacterium. RNAcentral's name for it is "6S RNA". It matches the Rfam family "6S / SsrS RNA". From Rfam's summary of the family: E. coli 6S RNA was the first non coding RNA to be sequenced, but its function was unknown until recently. The record is from RNAcentral. Lineage: Bacteria; Pseudomonadati; Pseudomonadota; Alphaproteobacteria; Hyphomicrobiales.